GACGAACGCUGGCGGCGUGCUUAACACAUGCAAGUCGAACGAGAGCGUAGAGAAAGCUUGCUUUUUCUACAAUCUAGUGGCAAACGGGUGAGUAACGCGUAAACAACCUGCCCUACGGAUGGGGACAACAGCUGGAAACGGCUGCUAAUACCGAAUACGUUCCGAAAGUCGCAUGACUGUCGGAAGAAAGGAUGGCCUCUAUUUAUAAGCUAUCGCCGGAGGAGGGGUUUGCGUCUGAUUAGCUAGUUGGAGGGGUAACGGCCCACCAAGGCGACGAUCAGUAGCCGGUCUGAGAGGAUGAACGGCCACAUUGGAACUGAGACACGGUCCAGACUCCUACGGGAGGCAGCAGUGGGGAAUCUUCCGCAAUGGGCGAAAGCCUGACGGAGCAACGCCGCGUGAGUGAAGACGGCCUUCGGGUUGUAAAGCUCUGUUAUACGGGACGAAUAAUCUUGUGGUUAAUACCCAUGAGAAGUGACG
Molecule: ribosomal RNA, 480 nt
Filed under: Megasphaera micronuciformis
Lineage: Bacteria; Bacillati; Bacillota; Negativicutes; Veillonellales; Veillonellaceae
Description: bacterial SSU rRNA
Rfam family: Bacterial small subunit ribosomal RNA
Source: RNAcentral